UUUAUAUAGUUCCCACUGUAUUUUUAAUAUAUUUGUACAAAGCACCAUAACACUUUUGGUUUUUUAGGAAAUCACUUAAUUGGCGGCGGGAGGUAUCACUUUCUUCAAUAAUUUCAGUUGCCAACACUAGUCUAUGAAAGGUGAAUCUUGAACAGUUGAAAAAAAUGUGAUUCAUGUCGGCGUUCUCUUCGUUACAAAAAGUGCAAUUAUUGCUGCUUAUUAUGUUCAAUCUCGCAAGGUGUGCAGGUGCAGUGUUAUGACCAAAUCUGAGUCUGUUUAUUGUUGUGAUAAAGUCACGGUUCGCUAUCUUCAGCUCAUUGUACCAUGGAUUUGUCGGAAAAUCCGGCACAAAGUUGGGGACAGCCCAGUCAGAAGAUCAUGAGGUGAAGCUAAUGGACCAUCUGUGAUGAUUGGGUGAGAUCGUGGAUGAGAGAAAUGAAGCUGUCUGAACAACUUCGUCCUCUACGGAACCCAUACUGAAUUUGAGGAAUGAUGUUAUGAGAUUCUGCGUACCAAUCCAGGCGGUUCUUUAGCAUAUUUUCAAAUAUCUUACCAAUACAUGAUGAUAAAGAUAUUGGCCGAUAAGAACUGGCCUCCUCUGGUGGUUUAUCUUGUUUAAGUAUGGGUAUCACACAUUGAGUCUUCCAUGAGAUUGGUAUCAGUUUUUUAAGCCAAAGACAAUUUAAAAUACACAGUAAUAUUUUUUGGAUAGAUUCUGGUAGUUCUUUUAUUAAUAUAUACGGAAAAUCGUCCAAACCAGGGCUAGUAUUUUUUCUAGAUUUUAUACUUGUUAAAAAUUCUGACCAUGAGAAAGGAUCCAAUAGAAAUCCUGAUUGUGGAUUUUCACUGUUCAUAUUAAAAUAAGUUUCUAACGAAUCAGGAUUAACUAAAUUAGAAUUAUCUGAUAAUUUAUCUAACAAUGGUUGCACAAAAUCAUUUUGAUAUGACUUAUUAUUGGUUCUAAUACCCUUAAAUCUUUUAAUAAGGUUCCAGAUUUUACUUAUAGGAGUAGUUCUAUUGAAAUUAUUACAAAAACUGUUCCAACUUUUACGUUUUUCUUCCUUUAUGGUGCGUUUUUUAAGAGCAUCUAUUCUUUUGUACUUAAUGUAAUUGUCUAAUGUUGGAUCGUUUCUAUAAAGUUUAAGUGCUUCAUAUGAUUUAAUAACUGCUUGUUCACACGUACUAUUCCACCACGGAGCGGGUGGCCUACUCCUAAAAUUUGUUUUAGUAAAUCUAGGAACUUCCAUUAGUUUAAGUUCAUUAAGUCGGAUACAAAACUCAUCAUAAGAUUUCAUUGGAUCCUCUUCAUU
Molecule: long non-coding RNA, 1310 nt
Organism: Aricia agestis (brown argus)
Lineage: Eukaryota; Metazoa; Arthropoda; Insecta; Lepidoptera; Lycaenidae
Exons: 3
Source: RefSeq, a predicted model, not a curated record